UCCCCCCGACCGCCCAUUCUUCACCUCUGCUCCCUCUUUCUUCUUCCUACCCUCUCUUCAUCCUUGCGCAUCCCGCCGCGCUUCCCUUCCUACCUCCUCCGCCAUGUCCCAAUUGGAAGCGUCCUCCGGUAGCAGGAUGCGGUCCUCGAGGCCAGUCCGCAGUGGGUGAUGAGGCGGGCCUACCAUUGAUCCCGUGCCCCAUGUGCAAGAUGGAGUGUGUGAUUGAGCUACGGUCAAAAAAGGAGAACUUGAACAAGGGGUGCGUUUUCAUCAAGUGUCCAAGGAACAUAGAAGGGAUGCCGGGGAGAUGCUAGUACUACAAAUGGCAAAUGCUGUGUUUGUAGGAGUUGUGUGCUUCAAACUAUGUUGAGGUGAACCUGGAAGCAACAGAGGCAUGCAUGGCACGCGCAGGCGUCAAAAGUGGAGGAUACGAGCCAUUUGUGGAAGAAGAAGAAGCAGAAGCUGAAUCCAUGAAUUUUGCUUCCGUAGGAGUAAGAAGUUCAAGUGGUGGGAAGAUUUAUGAUUGUGAGAUGGAAGCUAAGAUGGACAAGCUGAUUAGUGCAGUAAAGAUGUUGAUUGUGUGUAUUUGUGUUAGUAUUGCGUUAGUGGUCUAUAUGUUGAAGUGACAAUGGCUUGUGUUCAUACCUUUUGUGACUGAGUAGGCUUUUGGUUUAGUGAUAACCUGGCAUGUGAAGCACCAAGCUGAUCCUAGAACUUGUUAUCUUUUGUAAGUAACUAGGCUGACACUUUGUCUGUAUGGCAAUGAAUGAUGCAACGUCGAUGGUGUGCAUUGUUAUUUCAA
Long non-coding RNA from Panicum hallii, 802 nucleotides. RefSeq lists it as uncharacterized. The transcript has 2 exons. The record is from RefSeq and is a predicted model, not a curated record. Lineage: Eukaryota; Viridiplantae; Streptophyta; Magnoliopsida; Poales; Poaceae.